AGAGGACAAGUGAGACACCACUCUGGACGGACGGGUUAGCAACAUACCACACUGACCAAACUGACCACACUGACCGAUACCUUUCAGAUCAUCUUGAAAAUGGCGUCUUUGUGGAUGGUAUUGAUUGACAGCAUUAUGCUGUGGUCAGCACAAUUUGUGAUGGUAUCGACAGAAUCUCCAUGCCCGGAAAUAGCUCAUCUUUCGGGAUCCUACGCCGUCUCUGCAAAGAUUGUUUACGAUCAUUUCGCUUGGGUACGCCCCCACGACAACCAGAAUGUUGUCACUUGUAGUCCACAAUGCAGCGGCACGACUACGUACUCUGCAAGCAAGAAGAAUGCCGAAAAUAUAACCACCCUUACGAUAGGGAGCGUUCAGAUCAGAGAUAAUGGCACAUGGGUCAUUUCCGACACAAGUUCUGUCGGAGUGCCUGCAUGCCAUUUAACGGUCGCAGGUCUGCCAAACUGCACCAUCACCAGCUCUCUGGCAUACGAUUCCCUUGAACCCAAUUCAGAGCUGACACUGGUCGCAGGCAUACGGGGAUACUACUGCUCAAAACAGGCAGGGUUUGAACUAACUACAGGCCGUGACGUACCCGAGGUGUUGCUGAAGAACAAAACAGUUACUAAUGCCACUGACAUCGUCCUCAACACCACCUUCAACGUUACCCUAAGAGGACUUGGAAAUGUUCAACUGGACUUUACGUGUGACAACACAACAUUUAAUCUUUCCUGUCGUGGAGUGACGAAACUUCUCAAAAGUCCUCCGGAGUGUGACAUUAGCAGCUCCAGGAAUGGAUCCCUGAUUCCUGGUACAAACCUGACUCUCACUGUCAACAUCACCAACUACUACUGCACCGAGGAGGCUGCGUUCGAUCUCAUCACCGGAAGUGUCCAGCAGGAGCUGGUACCCAGACACCACGUUGUCGACAUUAACAGUACUGUCGUCAGCAAGACCUGGGAGUCACAUCUGCGCAUGACGGGGACAUUAAAGUCAACUUUAAAUGUGACGGGACAUAUCGUGAACUUAGCUGCAGCGGCGACAAGAAGAUAAUUGUAGUUGGAGCGACAUCAACUGCAACACCACCAACGUCAACGCCUGCAUCAUCUCCAACUACAUCGACAUCGACAGGAAGUGACACCACAACCACCUCCAUCUCCUCCUCCAUCACCACCUCCAUCUCCACCUCCACCUCCAUCACCACGUCCACCACUACACCUCCAACACCUGCAUCUGUACCUGUGUACCUCAUCAUAGGUAUAGUGAUUGCGUUGCUCGUGCUGCUCAUCAUCAUCUUUGUCCUGAUUGUCUUUCGUAACAGAAUCGCACGGGUUGCCCGGAAGUACAGCGUCACAAGGAAAAGGCCCAAGGUUCGGAACUUGAAGGAAAAUGAUAAACCCAACAAAGGGAAACGCAUGUCCCAAAUCAACCCUGACAAAAAGGCUGACUUUGAUCAAAAUGUUCUUGGAUCCACCGCUGAUCCUGCUUCAGAACACAAAGGAGCAUCAGUUAAAGAGAUGCCAAUAUAGCCGAUGGAUGUAAUAGAGACUAUGUUUUAAGGAAAUUCAGAGGUGUAAAACUAUAUGGUAGUCUGUUUUGAACAGCUUCUUAUUAUAUGAAUGAAAGUCCGAGAAAAUUGAUCAAAACUUUCAGCUAUUUUCAUUUUGAAAAUAAUGAUGCUCUUGCAUUAUCGAAAGUAAAAGAGACACAUAGCAAACUUGACAGUCGGAGUGAAACACUUGGCUGUUAUUGUGCCAAUGAAAUAGGAUACUUAGUGUGCAUUUGUUUCUCAAUAUUUUGAAGACGUGUUCUGAGAGUAUAUUUUGCUGUGGCACAAAUUCAGAUAUUCCUACACUGACAAGAAAUAUUUAAUCAUGCUAGGAAACAUCAGGACUACAAAUCCGUUGUUUGACACUUUGUAAUGUGUACUGGAUCAAUAUAUAAUAAUAAGUCAACCAGGUAUGUACAUAGCAGCCAACAGGCUGCAAAGAACGUUCACCCUCAUAGACUUGAUUUCCCGAAAUUAGUGUUACUGAAAGUUAUAAUUAAUAUUAUUUUAGUGUUUGAAUAUUCUUAUCAUGUUGCAUAUCAGAAAUAUAAUAAUCAAACUACAUCAACACUUGCAAUUUGCAGUACUUGUUAAAACAUCCAUGUCAUUCCUUUUUUUUUACGCCAUUUGUCGUUCUUUUCAAAAGAUAUUGAUGUUGUCCAAGCAACGCUUUAUGAUCAGUAGUAUGUAUAAUUAUGAUUAUAUUCAUUGAUGUUUGUUUAAAUUAUUUACACUAUUGUUUGUUUGUUUUCUGAAUGAAUACUAUGUUUAUUGAUUUUUGUAUUCAAAGUGCAGCUGGAUGUACAUAUAUGUUUAAGCACCAGUUUGUGUCUGGUUAUUUAUGUUAUGGAAAACGUACAGUGGUGUGAUUUCGGGUUUUUAAUGGACUGUGAACCAUACUAAAACACAUUGUACUGACUUUGCUUUAUGACUAGAAAAUUCAUUAUUCAUCCGUGUGUUCUUUUUAUCUUACCUCAACCUCAAUUACUUGUUUUUAGAACAAUGACACACCAUUUGCACUUCGCAUAUAUAAAUACCCAAUGCACAUUUUGAUUGAGGGAUUCUUUAAACACGGAGUUCCUCAUGUAAUCAAGUAUGUUUUGCUUCAAGCCUAUUUACGUCAGUCCUACUGUAUUUGUAUAUCAUAUUAUUAUAUUUUAAUCCUUUUGACACCACAAUGUCACGGGUCAUUUUAAGUUGUCACUGAUGAUGUCAAAGAGACAUAUGCUUUUCACAUUGAAAUUUGCUUUGUUGAGAUUAUAUAUUUUGCUGUAUAUAUCGGACAUUUUGUCUCAUAGUUUUAUUCUAUUUACAUUAGAUAGUGUGUGUUCUGGAUUAAUCCAACCAGUUCAUAUAUGAUUAUACCUUUCAGCAAGAAGCACAUCACCUCUAAUGAGUUUGGCUGUGUAUGAAUAUUGAUAAGGUCCCACCCACCCACCUUGACCCCACAGGGGGGUUGUUGUAAGUGAUGUCAGG
Molecule: RNA transcript, 3022 nt
Organism: Haliotis rubra (blacklip abalone)
Lineage: Eukaryota; Metazoa; Mollusca; Gastropoda; Lepetellida; Haliotidae
Exons: 8
Source: RefSeq, a predicted model, not a curated record